RNAcentral lists this ribosomal RNA (440 nucleotides) under uncultured bacterium. RNAcentral describes it as "partial 16S ribosomal RNA". It matches the Rfam family "Bacterial small subunit ribosomal RNA", at positions 338 to 795 of the family's 1533-position model. The record is from RNAcentral.
CCUACGGGAGGCAGCAGUAAGGGAUAUUGGUCAAUGGAGGAAACCCUGAACCAGCAACGCCGCGUGAAGGAAGACGGUUUUCGGAGUGUAAACCUCUGUCCUCUGUGAAGUUGAUGACGGUAGCAGAGGAGGAAGCUCCGGCUAACUACGUACCAGCAGCCGCCGAAAUACGUAGGGAGCGAGCGGUGUCCGGAUUUACUGGGUGUAAAGUGUGCGUAGGCGGGUUGGCAAGUCAGUAGUGCAAUCCAUGGGCUUAACCCAUGAACUGCUAUUGAAACUGUCGAGCUUGAGUGAAGUAGAGGUAGGCGGAAUUCAUGGUGUAGCGGUGAAAUGCGUAGAGAUCGGGAGGAACACCAGUGGCGAAGGCGGCCUACUGGGCUUUAACUGACGCUGAGGCACGAAAGCGUGGGUAGCAAACAGGAUUAGAUACCCGAGUAGUC